AAAUUUAGUAGCGAAGUAGCUGAUUUCACACUGUCAAGAAAAGUCUCUAUCGAGGUUAAAGGUACCCGUACCGCAAACCGACACAGGUGGGGGAGGAGAGUAUCCUAAGGCCAGCGAGAGAACUGUUGUUAAGGAACUCGGCAAAAUGACCCCGUAACUUAGGGAUAAGGGGUGCCACCAUCAGGUGGCCGCAGAGAAUAGGCCCAAGCGACUGUUUACCAAAAACAUAGGUUUCUGCUAAG
RNAcentral lists this ribosomal RNA (242 nucleotides) under Clostridioides difficile. Its description in RNAcentral is "partial 23S ribosomal RNA". It matches the Rfam family "Bacterial large subunit ribosomal RNA", at positions 1575 to 1830 of the family's 2925-position model. Lineage: Bacteria; Bacillati; Bacillota; Clostridia; Peptostreptococcales; Peptostreptococcaceae. The record is from RNAcentral.